Molecule: ribosomal RNA, 250 nt
Filed under: uncultured Zavarzinella sp.
Lineage: Bacteria; Pseudomonadati; Planctomycetota; Planctomycetia; Gemmatales; Gemmataceae
Description: partial 16S ribosomal RNA
Rfam family: Bacterial small subunit ribosomal RNA
Source: RNAcentral
GACGAACCGUGCGAACGUUGUUCGGAAUCACUGGGCUUAAAGGGCGCGUAGGCGGGCUAUCAAGUCCGGGGUGAAAUCCUCCAGCUCAACUGGAGAACGGCCUCGGAUACUGAUGGUCUCGAGGAGGAUAGGGGCACACGGAACUGUGGGUGGAGCGGUGAAAUGCGUUGAUAUCCAUAGGAACUCCGGUGGCGAAAGCGGUGUGCUGGAUCCUUUCUGACGCUGAGGCGCGAAAGCCAGGGGAGCAAAC